UGCAAGUUGAGCGAUGAAGAUUGGUGCUUGCACCAAUUUGAAGAGCAGCGAACGGGUGAGUAACGCGUGGGGAAUCUGCCUUUGAGCGGGGGACAACAUUUGGAAACGAAUGCUAAUACCGCAUAACAACUUUAAACAUAAGUUUUAAGUUUGAAAGAUGCAAUUGCAUCACUCAAAGAUGAUCCCGCGUUGUAUUAGCUAGUUGGUGAGGUAAAGGCUCACCAAGGCGAUGAUACAUAGCCGACCUGAGAGGGUGAUCGGCCACAUUGGGACUGAGACACGGCCCAAACUCCUACGGGAGGCAGCAGUAGGGAAUCUUCGGCAAUGGACGAAAGUCUGACCGAGCAACGCCGCGUGAGUGAAGAAGGUUUUCGGAUCGUAAAACUCUGUUGGUAGAGAAGAACGUUGGUGAGAGUGGAAAGCUCAUCAAGUGACGGUAACUACCCAGAAAGGGACGGCUAACUACGUGCCAGCAGCCGCGGUAAUACGUAGGUCCCGAGCGUUGUCCGGAUUUAUUGGGCGUAAAGCGAGCGCAGGUGGUUUAUUAAGUCUGGUGUAAAAGGCAGUGGCUCAACCAUUGUAUGCAUUGGAAACUGGUAGACUUGAGUGCAGGAGAGGAGAGUGGAAUUCCAUGUGUAGCGGUGAAAUGCGUAGAUAUAUGGAGGAACACCGGUGGCGAAAGCGGCUCUCUGGCCUGUAACUGACACUGAGGCUCGAAAG
RNAcentral lists this ribosomal RNA (720 nucleotides) under Lactococcus lactis. Its description in RNAcentral is "bacterial SSU rRNA". It matches the Rfam family "Bacterial small subunit ribosomal RNA", at positions 56 to 759 of the family's 1533-position model. Lineage: Bacteria; Bacillati; Bacillota; Bacilli; Lactobacillales; Streptococcaceae. The record is from RNAcentral.